GAGGUUGUGGCUCAGUGGUAGAACACUUGCCUAGCAUGCAUGAGGCACUGGGUUCUUUCCCCAGCACCACA
RNAcentral lists this transfer RNA (71 nucleotides) under Marmota monax (woodchuck). Its description in RNAcentral is "tRNA.Ala". Lineage: Eukaryota; Metazoa; Chordata; Mammalia; Rodentia; Sciuridae. The record is from RNAcentral.